UACGUAGGGCGCAAGCGUUGUCCGGAAUUAUUGGGCGUAAAGAGCUCGUAGGCGGUUUGUCGCGUCGACUGUGAAAACCUGGGGCUUAACUCUGGGCCUGCAGUCGAUACGGGCAGACUUGAGUUCGGUAGGGGAGACUGGAAUUCCUGGUGUAGCGGUGAAAUGCGCAGAUAUCAGGAGGAACACCGGUGGCGAAGGCGGGUCUCUGGGCCGAUACUGACGCUGAGGAGCGAAAGCGUGGGGAGCGAACAGG
Molecule: ribosomal RNA, 253 nt
Filed under: uncultured bacterium
Lineage: Bacteria
Description: partial 16S ribosomal RNA
Rfam family: Bacterial small subunit ribosomal RNA
Source: RNAcentral